This 209-nucleotide long non-coding RNA is filed under the name Ananas comosus (pineapple). RNAcentral describes it as "long non-coding RNA (ACOM_LNC016031)". Lineage: Eukaryota; Viridiplantae; Streptophyta; Magnoliopsida; Poales; Bromeliaceae. The record is from RNAcentral.
UGGAUACUAAUGCACUUAAUUAUUUUUUUUUGAGAGAUAAGUACCACGCCCGCUUCGUUUAUUUCAAAUAAAAAUAAAUUUAGCUGAAAAUAUGAAUCAACUAGAAUUCGAACUAGGGCGUCGGGUACCAACCACCAAAUCCUUUACCACUUGCUCUAGGGACAAUCUGUAAAACACUUAAUUAUUAUGUAUGCUUUCUUUGGAUAGAG